GGGGAAGUCCAGGUGAAAGGAGCUGGAGGAGAGGAAGCAUUGCUGAAUCCUGAGAACUUCAGAACAUCUGGAUCCCCAAAGCAUUGUAAUGUUGUGAGUGCAGCACUUCAGUGCUUCAUAUAACCCCCCUGGCAGUGGCACCUUCUUCCAAUUGGCUACUUCUCAGCUGGUCAGAUGAGAACAGAAGUCAUAUCCAUCCACCAGCAGAGGGCAUGAGGCUUGAAGACAUGGACAAGGGCAUGAGCAUGGAGAAAGACACGGAGGACUGCUUCCACUCCUCCUCUUUGGGCGAGGCAGACCCUGACCCUCCUGAGAGAGUGACACUUGUGGCCAACGAGAAGAUGUUUGAGGAGCAUGUGGAGUAUUUGCAUGUAAUGGGAGGUGCAGUGAACCAUCUCAGGACUGCAUCAAAGCCAUUCUAAUUUCGAAGCUACGCCUUGCUUAAAUAAACUUCACAUGAACUUCACUGAAGACACCAUGACUAGAAAAAAGCUACUAACAAUAAAUUGACCUUAAUGUCAGAGAAUGCUGACAGAACAGAGAUUUCAGCAGAAUGGAGUUUGUUUUGCAGUACAGUGAAUUGAAAAACACCUCAAGAUGAUUAGAAAAAGCCAAAGAGAACAAAGUGCCCAUAAAAAUCUAUCAAUGAUAAGAGACACCAUGGCUAGGAAGGGGGAAAGCGUGUUUAGUACAAUAAGUGUACAAAUUAAUCUGCCAAUAUAUUUUUUUUAUUUAUUCAUGCUAACUGUGCAGGUCUUGUCUGACAAUGUAAUUUUCCUAAAACUAACCCAUGAGAAAGCAAAUGCAAACACUUUGAAGAACAGAGUUGGCAGAAUUAUGGACUGUGAAUAAAUUACCUGACCAAUUUAGCCCUUUUUUUCUGCUUGAACCAUUUGUGAAUGGAUUUUGUAUUAAUUUAUUUGCUAUUCAUAAUAGUUUGAAGAGUUUAAGAGAAGAAAUAUUGUCCUCUGGGUUGUUUUUGCUUCACUAAUCAGUGUGCAAUUGGUCAGCCGAGCCAUUCAGUAUUGCUUCUUUUUCCUGCCUAGAUGUCUGAAACAGGGGAAUUGUGAGUAGUGAAUGACAAAUGAUUUUGUUCAUGCAUGGAUUUCUUUAUUCACAUGCAAAUAUGGUUAUUUGAACACGGAAGAACCAGCAUUCUAUUUACUUGAUGUUUUAAGCAUAGCCUUGGCCAUUCCCUAUUACAGAGCUUAUCAGUUAAGCUUCUUGUGCUUUGUUUUCAAGGCUUCAAACUGUAUCUCUGACCAUUUUCUUUUUGCAUUUCCCCAUUCCAUUGCAACAUGUAUGCUUUUUAUGUUCCUUUAAAUGACGUUAUUUUUGUACCUUCUUUACUGCUCCCCUGUUAUGGAACAUCUGCCCAAGCUUGUUUGUCAAGCCACCUCCCUUGCCACAUUUAAAUCCCUCUAAAAUAUUGACUUAUGCCAUCUGACCUGCAUGAAGUGUGGUAAAGAAGAAAACAGUGUAAGUGUAGAGAACCCACAAGCUGCGUACGUGUCUGACUAAGUGUGCACGUGGUCUUUUCACUGUAACAUUUGUACCCUCUUCUCUUCUUUUGCCCCUUUUAUGAUUCUUGCUUCUGUACUUUGCUGCAUUCAGACUGUGUACUAGUGAGGGGAGAGACAGUAUCUUAGCGUGUUUCAGGAGGCAACUAG
Molecule: long non-coding RNA, 1670 nt
Organism: Chelonia mydas (Green sea turtle)
Lineage: Eukaryota; Metazoa; Chordata; Testudines; Cheloniidae
Exons: 4
Source: RefSeq, a predicted model, not a curated record